GGUAUCCUGAGUAGCGCGGGACACGAGGAAUCUUGCGUGAAUCUGCCGGGACCAUCCGGUAAGGCUAAAUACUCCCGUGAGACCGAUAGCGAACGAGUACUGUGAAGGAAAGGUGAAAAGAACCCCGAGCAGGGGAGUGAAAUAGUUCCUGAAACCAUGUGCCUACAAGCGGUCGGAGCAUCUUACGAUGUGACGGCGUGCCUUUUGCAUAAUGAUCCUACGAGUUACCGUCACUGGCGAGGUUGAGUGUCAUGAGACACGUAGCCGCAGUGAAAGCGAGCCUGAAUAGGGCGCACAGUCAGUGGGGGUAGACGCGAAACCAAGUGAUCUACACUUGGCCAGGAUGAAGUCCCGGUAACACGGGAUGGAGGUCCGCACCAAUAAGCGUUGAAAAGCUUCUGGAUGAGCCGAGUGUAGGAGUGAAAGGCCAAUCAAACUUGGAGAUAGCUCGUACUCCCCGAAAGGCAUUUAGGUGCCGCGUCGGAUGGUCACCGUGAGAGGUAGAGCGACCGAUAGGACAAGAGGGCUUCACCGCCUAUCGAGUCCUGACGAACUCCGAAUGCUCACGGUCUGCAGUCCGGCAGUAAGGGGGCGGGUGCUAAGGUCCGUCCCCGAGAGGAGAAGAAUCCAGACCGCCGUCUAAGGUCCCGGAGUUCUGCCUGAGUUAGUCUAACGAAGUCUGGUCCCUAUGACAGCUAGGAUGUUGGCUUGGAAGCAGCCAUUCAUUCAAAGAGUGCGUAACAGCUCACUAGUCGAGGGUCCGGGCAUGGAUAAUAAUCGGGUAUAAGGCAGACACCGAAGGCGCGGGAUAGCAAUUAUAAAAGUAUCGGUAGGGGAGCAUACUCACAGCGUGGAAUGGUGUACGUAAGUUAUCCUGGAGCGGUGAGUAAAGCAAAUGUAGGAAUAAGUAACGAUAAGGAGGGUUAGAUUCCCUCCCGCUGUAAGACCAAGGUUUCCCGGGCAAUGCCAAUCAGCCCGGGGUCAGUCGGGUCCUAAGUCUAAGCCGAACGGCGAUGGCGAUGGCAGAGACGGUUAAUAUUCCGUCACUGCCGCAUGGGGCGACGUGGAGACGGAGCAGUGAAACCACCGCGGGGCGACGGAAGUCCCCGUUGAAGAGUGUAGGUGUUGAGGAUGGCAGGCAAAUCCACCAUCCGAGCUGAACUUGACAGUAUGGAGUCUUCUCCGGAAGAAUCCAAUAGUGUGGGUAAUCAUACUCCCGAGAAAAUCCGCUAAGCUUAACCCAUGCGGCACCCGUACCGCAAACGGACACACGUGGUCGGGUAGAACAUACUAAGGCGUUGAGAGAUUCAUGGUUAAGGAACUAGGCAAAUUGACCCUGUAACUUCGGGAUAAAGGGUCCUCGUGAUGAGCGAGGCGCAGAGAAUAGGUCCAGGCAACUGUUUAACAAAAACACAGGGCUGUGCAAACUCGAAAGAUGACGUAUACAGCCUGACACCUGCCCGGUGCCGGAAGGUUAAGAGGAGAUGUCACCAGCAAUGGGAAGCAUUGAAUUGAAGCCCCGGUAAACGGCGGCCGUAACUAUAACGGUCCUAAGGUAGCGAAAUUCCUUGUCGGGUAAGUUC
RNAcentral lists this ribosomal RNA (1583 nucleotides) under human gut metagenome. RNAcentral describes it as "bacterial LSU rRNA". It matches the Rfam family "Bacterial large subunit ribosomal RNA", at positions 402 to 1983 of the family's 2925-position model. The record is from RNAcentral.